AAAGCUACAGUAUCCUCUCCUCCACAUCAGUAACAAAAGGAGGUAAAACAAAUAGUUACUGGAAUUAAAAAUUCUGCAGUUGAGUUCCAAAUAAAAAAAGUAUUACACGGUGUUAGGCCGGUGGCAGCCCCCAGCGCGGCGGGACCCGGUGUCCCCGGAGUCGGGUUGUUUGGGAAUGCAGCCCGAAGCGGGUGGUAAACUCCAUCUAAGGCUAAACACCGGUACGAGACCGAUAGCGGACAAGUACCGUAAGG
This is a non-coding RNA of Pelobates cultripes (western spadefoot toad), 254 nucleotides long. The record is from the annotation of a GenBank genome assembly. Lineage: Eukaryota; Metazoa; Chordata; Amphibia; Anura; Pelobatidae.